GGACACGCUGGCGGCGUUGCCUAAUACAUGCAAGUCGAACGCUUUUUCUUCACCGGAGCUUGCUCCACCGAAAGAAAAGAGUGGCGAACGGGUGAGUAACACGUGGGUAACCUGCCCAUCAGAAGGGGAUAACACUUGGAAACAGGUGCUAAUACCGUAUAACACUAUUUUCCGCAUGGAAGAAAGUUGAAAGGCGCUUUUGCGUCACUGAUGGAUGGACCCGCGGUGCAUUAGCUAGUUGGUGAGGUAACGGCUCACCAAGGCAACGAUGCAUAGCCGACCUGAGAGGGUGAUCGGCCACACUGGGACUGAGACACGGCCCAGACUCCUACGGGAGGCAGCAGUAGGGAAUCUUCGGCAAUGGACGAAAGUCUGACCGAGCAACGCCGCGUGAGUGAAGAAGGUUUUCGGAUCGUAAAACUCUGUUGUUAGAGAAGAACAAGGAUGAGAGUAAAACGUUCAUCCCUUGACGGUAUCUAACCAGAAAGCCACGGCUAACUACGUG
Molecule: ribosomal RNA, 505 nt
Filed under: uncultured Enterococcus sp.
Lineage: Bacteria; Bacillati; Bacillota; Bacilli; Lactobacillales; Enterococcaceae
Description: bacterial SSU rRNA
Rfam family: Bacterial small subunit ribosomal RNA
Source: RNAcentral